RNAcentral lists this small nucleolar RNA (100 nucleotides) under Cavia porcellus (domestic guinea pig). Lineage: Eukaryota; Metazoa; Chordata; Mammalia; Rodentia; Caviidae. The record is from RNAcentral.
CUGGCUCUGAAUCAAGGCCGGCAGCUUCCUGAUGCUGUUGGUUUCAAGCAGGAGCUAAAGAGAUGUCUUUCUGGGCUGGGGAUUUAGCUUAGCAGCAUAA